AGAGUUUGAUCCUGGCUCAGAUUGAACGCUGGCGGNAUGCCUUACACAUGCAAGUCGAACGGCAGCGCGGGAGCAAUCCUGGCGGCGAGUGGCGAACGGGUGAGUAAUACAUCGGAACGUGCCCAAUCGUGGGGGAUAACGCAGCGAAAGCUGUGCUAAUACCGCAUACGAUCUACGGAUGAAAGCAGGGGAUCGCAAGACCUUUCGCGAAUGGAGCGGCCGAUGGCAGAUUAGGUAGUUGGUGAGGUAAAGGCUCACCAAGCCUUCGAUCUGUAGCUGGUCUGAGAGGACGACCAGCCACACUGGGACUGAGACACGGCCCANACUCCUACGGGAGGCAGNCGUGGGGAAUUUUGGACAAUGGGCGCAAGCCUGAUCCAGCCAUGCCGCGUGCAGGAUGAAGGCCUUCGGGUUGUAAACUGCUUUUGUACGGAACGAAAAGUCUCUUUCUAAUAAAGAGGGAUCAUGACGGUACCGUAAGAAUAAGCACCGGCUANCUACGUGCCAGCAGCCGCGGUAAUACGUANGGUGCAAGCGUUAAUCGGAAUUACUGGGGCGUAAAGCGUGCGCAGGCGGUUAUGUAAGACAGUUGUGAAAUCCCCGGGGCUCAACCUGGGAACUGCAUCUGUGACUGCAUAGCUAGAGUACGGUAGAUNGGGAUGGAAUUCCGCGUGUAGCAGUG
Molecule: ribosomal RNA, 682 nt
Filed under: uncultured bacterium
Lineage: Bacteria
Description: bacterial SSU rRNA
Rfam family: Bacterial small subunit ribosomal RNA
Source: RNAcentral